RNAcentral lists this ribosomal RNA (557 nucleotides) under uncultured archaeon. Its description in RNAcentral is "bacterial SSU rRNA". It matches the Rfam family "Archaeal small subunit ribosomal RNA", at positions 321 to 879 of the family's 1478-position model. The record is from RNAcentral.
CCCUACGGGGUGCAGCAGGCGCGAAAACUUCACACUGUGCGAAAGCACGAUGAGGGAAUCCCAAGUGCCAGCUCGUAAGAGUUGGCUGUUUUUCUGUCUAAAAAACAGAGAGAGUAAGAGCUGGGUAAGACGGGUGCCAGCCGCCGCGGUAAUACCUGCAGCCCAAGUGGUGAUCGUUAUUAUUGGGCCUAAAACGUUCGUAGCCGGUUUAGUAAAUGCCUGGGUAAAUCGUGUAGCUUAACUAUACGAAUUCCGGGUAGACUGCUAAACUUGAGACCGGGAGAAGCUAGAGGUACUCCUGGGGUAGAGGUAAAAUUCUGUAAUCCUAGGGGGACCACCAGUGGCGAAGGCGUCUAGCUAGAACGGGUCUGACGGUGAGGGACGAAGCCCUGGGGCGCAAACCGGAUUAGAUACCCGGGUAGUCCAGGGUGUAAACGCUGCUCGCUUGAUGUUAGUUGGGCUCCGUGCCCAAUUAGUGUCGGAGAGAAGUUGUUAAGCGAGCUGCCUGGGAAGUACGGCCGCAAGACUGAAACUUAAAGGAAUUGGCGGGGGAGCAC